UACGAAGGGGGCUAGCGUUGUUCGGAAUUACUGGGCGUAAAGCGUGCGCAGGCGGCUUCUCAAGUCAGGGGUGAAAGCCCAGAGCUCAACUCUGGAAUUGCCUUUGAGACUGAGUGGCUUGAGUACGAGAGAGGUGAGUGGAAUUCCCAGUGUAGAGGUGAAAUUCGUAGAUAUUGGGAAGAACACCAGUGGCGAAGGCGACUCGCUGGACAAGUAUUGACGCUGAGGUGCGAAAGCGUGGGGAGCAAACAGG
This 253-nucleotide ribosomal RNA is filed under the name uncultured bacterium. RNAcentral describes it as "partial 16S ribosomal RNA". It matches the Rfam family "Bacterial small subunit ribosomal RNA", at positions 524 to 776 of the family's 1533-position model. The record is from RNAcentral.